This 467-nucleotide ribosomal RNA is filed under the name uncultured bacterium. Its description in RNAcentral is "bacterial SSU rRNA". It matches the Rfam family "Bacterial small subunit ribosomal RNA", at positions 336 to 795 of the family's 1533-position model. The record is from RNAcentral.
UUCCUACGGGCGGCAGCAGCUAAGAAUCUUCCGCAAUGGGCGAAAGCCUGACGGAGCGAUGCCGCGUGAUCGAUGAAGGUCGAGAGAUUGUAAAGAUCUUUUCCAACUGAGGAAUAAGUGGAUCAGGGAAUGGGUUCAUGAUGACGUUAAGUUGGGAAUAAGCCCCGGCUAAUUACGUGCCAGCAGCCGCGGUAACACGUAAGGGGCGAGCGUUGUUCGGAAUUAUUGGGCGUAAAGGGCACGCAGGCGGUUUUACAAGUCUGAUGUUAAAGACCUGGGCUUAACUCAGGGGAUGCGUUGGAAACUGUAAGACUAGAAUCUUGGAGGGGGAGUCGGAAUUCCUAGUGUAGGGGUGAAAUCUGUUGAUAUUAGGAAGAACACCGGUGGCGAAGGCGGACUCCUGGCCGAAGAUUGACGCUGAGGUGCGAAAGCAUAGGGAGCAAACAGGAUUAGAUACCCCGGUAGUC